UUAUUGCUGAUGAGUCCCAAACAGGACGAAACAGCUGUCCUGUGA
RNAcentral lists this non-coding RNA (45 nucleotides) under Echinostoma caproni. Lineage: Eukaryota; Metazoa; Platyhelminthes; Trematoda; Plagiorchiida; Echinostomatidae. The record is from RNAcentral.